Molecule: long non-coding RNA, 1437 nt
Filed under: Anthonomus grandis grandis
Lineage: Eukaryota; Metazoa; Arthropoda; Insecta; Coleoptera; Curculionidae
Description: uncharacterized LOC126734798
Source: RNAcentral
GUUGACAAGUAAAUAAUAAUGAGAAUAAAGCUAAUUAUAAAACUUUUCUCCCUAGUAUUUUGUAUGUUAGGCUCUAUUUUUAUGAAUUUAAGGAGUGGUUCCUGGAUAUAUGAUGUUCUUUGCCUAGGUUUAUCAGGAUUUCUGCUUAUAAACAUUGUCUGCAUUGUCAGUCUGACCCUAGAUCAUGAUUUACCCUACACUUUGGACUACCUAUUCUUGAUAGUGGGAUCUACUUUGAACUUGACGGGUGGAAUAAUGGCAAUAAUUUAUUUUACAGAUGAAUAUGAACGGUACAAAUAUAUGAUACCAUCAACCUAUUUGUUGCCUGUCGGUAUAUGCUCCAUUUUAGCAGGAUCCUGCAUGAUUGCAGAUUUGAUUAAAGGCAUUUUGGAAAAGAUGGGGCCAAAUAAUUAAUACUCAUUUAAUUCGUAAUAAAUAUACGUAUAAAAAUAUAGUAGUAUAAGUUAAAUACUGGCUUUGGACUUAUAACUAUAUGCAAAUCUAGUUUAUUCGGUGUCCAUAAGACUGUUCAGGUGUCCAUCAGCUGUUGGUUUAUACAGUCGGUCAUAGGUCAACUAUCUUUGAGAUAAGUUUUUUGAUGUAUUGACAUAUGUAUUUAGAGAGAAUGCUAAAAAACCAAAUAUGCUUUAUUGUUUUUUAACAUUAGUUAGAGUUAUAAACAAAGCAAAAAUAUAAUAAUACAGAAAAAAAUAUAAUAUUACAGCUAAGAAGAAAAUUUCACGGAUACAGUAACAAGGAACAAAAGUCGCAAAAAAAGGUUUUAGUAUAAAGUAACAAUAUGUCAACCAAAGACAAAUGUAUUAAUAAUGGACAAUAAUAUAUAAAACUUAAAAUACAGAACGCACCUAUAUCAUGUCGUUUUGGCGACAUGGCGAGACAGGAUUAUUGGGCCAUAUAUACUUUUUCAAACAAUCCCUAAAUAGCAACGUCUGUCUUAACUUUUGGACCAAUCAAUUGCCGUUGUUGCUGGAAGAUGUGCCAUUAGAAUUGCGGCAAAGCAUGUUCUUGCAGUUUUUCAAUAUUUAUACUGUUAUAAGGUUCUCUCCAGCAAGUGUGAUUUCCAAGCCUUGCGAAAUGUGGGAAAAGAUGCUAUGGACUUUAUUUUAAAUAGCAGUUUAAAAGAAUGCUCAAAUUGAGUCAUACAAUAUGUACCCCAGAAUGGAAGCAGGUUUCAGAGAUGUGCAAAACAUACAGAGCUUAAUUUUUUGGAAGUCUUCAAUAUGCCAAUCCCAUUUUAAGGGCUUGGCUACAAUAAGUGCCAAAAACCUAAUAGAUUCAACAAUGACUAAACUGGUGUUACAAUAUACAAUAGAUUGGUGAUGUUAUUUUUGAAAAAAUUAUGUACAUUGUAUUUUUUUUUAAUUCAUGUAACAUUGAAUUUUAUGAUUGAUGCUAAUAAAUAUUUAAUAUGAAGUA